This 497-nucleotide ribosomal RNA is filed under the name uncultured bacterium. Its description in RNAcentral is "partial 16S ribosomal RNA". It matches the Rfam family "Bacterial small subunit ribosomal RNA", at positions 28 to 507 of the family's 1533-position model. The record is from RNAcentral.
GACGAACGCUGGCGGCGUGCCUAAUACAUGCAAGUUGAGCGCUGAAGGUUGGUACUUGUACCAACUGGAUGAGCAGCGAACGGGUGAGUAACGCAUGGGGAAUCUGCCUUUGAGCGGGGGACAACAUUUGGAAACGAAUGCUAAUACCGCAUAAAAACUUUAAACACAAGUUUUAAGUUUGAAAGAUGCAAUUGCAUCACUCAAAGAUGAUCCCGCGUUGUAUUAGCUAGUUGGUGAGGUAAAGGCUCACCAAGGCGAUGAUACAUAGCCGACCUGAGAGGGUGAUCGGCCACAUUGGGACUGAGACACGGCCCAAACUCCUACGGGAGGCAGCAGUAGGGAAUCUUCGGCAAUGGACGAAAGUCUGACCGAGCAACGCCGCGUGAGUGAAGAAGGUUUUCGGAUCGUAAAACUCUGUUGGUAGAGAAGAACGUUGGUGAGAGUGGAAAGCUCAUCAAGUGACGGUAACUACCCAGAAAGGGACGGCUAACUACGUG